RNAcentral lists this ribosomal RNA (424 nucleotides) under uncultured prokaryote. RNAcentral describes it as "bacterial SSU rRNA". It matches the Rfam family "Bacterial small subunit ribosomal RNA", at positions 355 to 796 of the family's 1533-position model. The record is from RNAcentral.
UGGGGAAUUUUCCGCAAUGGGCGAAAGCCUGACGGAGCAAUACCGCGUGAGGGAGGAAGGCUUUUGGGUUGUAAAGCCCUUUCAGUCGUGACGAUGAUGACGGUAGCGACAGAAGAAGCCCCGGCUAACUCCGUGCCAGCAGCCGCGGUAAUACGGAGGGGGCAAGCGUUGUUCGGAUUUACUGGGCGUAAAGGGCGCGUAGGCGGACGGUCAAGUCAGAGGUGAAAGGCCCGGGCUCAACCUGGGACGUGCCUUUGAAACUGAUUGUCUUGAGUGCGGAAGAGGGUGACGGAAUUCCCAGUGUAGAGGUGAAAUUCGUAGAUAUUGGGAAGAACACCGGUGGCGAAGGCGGUCACCUGGUCCGCAACUGACGCUGAGGCGCGAAAGCGUGGGGAGCAAACAGGAUUAGAUACCCCCGUAGUCC